RNAcentral lists this ribosomal RNA (522 nucleotides) under uncultured bacterium. RNAcentral's name for it is "bacterial SSU rRNA". It matches the Rfam family "Bacterial small subunit ribosomal RNA", at positions 41 to 571 of the family's 1533-position model. The record is from RNAcentral.
GGCGUGCCUAACACAUGCAAGUCGAACGGGAAAGGACUCUUCGGAGUUCGAGUAGAGUGGCGAACGGGUGAGUAACGCGUGGGUGAUCUGCCCUUUGGUGGGGGAUAACCCGGGGAAACCCGGGCUAAUACCGCAUGAGCCUGAUAUUUUCGUUAAUAACUAGGGAAAGCAUUUAUGUGCCGAAGGAGGAGCCCGCGUCCGAUUAGCUAGUUGGUGAGGUAAGAGCUCACCAAGGCGACGAUCGGUAGCCGGUCUGAGAGGACGGACGGUCACACUGGGACUGAGACACGGCCCAGACUCCUACGGGAGGCAGCAGUGGGGAAUAUUUGGGCAAUGGGCGCAAGCCUAGACCCAGACAACGCCGCGUAGGAGGACGAAGGUUUUCGGAUCGUAAACUCCUGUCUAGAGGGACGAAGGAAGUGACGGUACCUCUGGAGGAAGCCCCGGCUAACUCCGUGCCAGCAGCCGCGGUAAUACGGGGGGGGCAAGCGUUGUUCGGAAUUACUGGGCGUAAAGGGCGCG